RNAcentral lists this ribosomal RNA (430 nucleotides) under marine bacterium SIMO-IS125. RNAcentral describes it as "bacterial SSU rRNA". It matches the Rfam family "Bacterial small subunit ribosomal RNA", at positions 46 to 522 of the family's 1533-position model. The record is from RNAcentral. Lineage: Bacteria; Pseudomonadati; Pseudomonadota; Alphaproteobacteria; Rhodobacterales; Paracoccaceae.
GCCUAACACAUGCAAGUCGAGCGAUCCCUUCGGGGAUAGCGGCGGACGGGUGAGUAACGCGUGGGAACGUGCCCUUCUCUACGGAAUAGCCCAGGGAAACUUGGAUUAAUACCGUAUACGCCCUUCGGGGGAAAGAUUUAUCGGAGAAGGAUCGGCCCGCGUUGGAUUAGGUAGNUGGUGGGGUAAUGGCCUACCAAGCCGACGAUCCAUAGCUGGUUUGAGAGGAUGAUCAGCCACACUGGGACUGAGACACGGCCCAGACUCCUACGGGAGGCAGCAGUGGGGAAUCUUAGACAAUGGGCGCAAGCCUGAUCUAGCCAUGCCGCGUGAGUGAUGAAGGCCUUAGGGUCGUAAAGCUCUUUCGCCUGUGAAGAUAAUGACUGUAGCAGGUAAAGAAACCCCGGCUAACUCCGUGCCAGCAGCCGCGGUA